AUUAACGCUGGCGGCGUGCAUCACACAUGCCAGUCGCACGAUGAAACUUUAAUGAACCCUUCGGGGAGAAUUAAAGCGGAUUAGUGGCGAACGGGUGAGUAACGCGUGAGUAACCUGCCUUACACAAGGGGAUAGCCUUUGGAAACGAAGAAUAAUACCCUAUAAAACCAUAAAAGCACAUGCAAUUAUGGUCAAAGUGAUAGCGGUGUAAGAUGGACUUGCGUCUGAUUAGCUAGUUGGUGAGAUAAAAGCCCACCAAGGCAACGAUCAGUAGCCGGCUUGAGAGAGUGUACGGCCACAUUGGGACUGAGACACGGCCCAGACUCCUACGGGAGGCAGCAGUGGGGAAUUUUGCACAAUGGGGGAAACCCUGAUGCAGCGACGCCGCGUGAUUUAGAAGGCCUUCGGGUUGUAAAAAUCUUUUGUAUAGGAAGAAAAUGACAGUACUAUACGAAUAAGGUCCGGCUAAUUACGUG
This 476-nucleotide ribosomal RNA is filed under the name uncultured bacterium. Its description in RNAcentral is "partial 16S ribosomal RNA". It matches the Rfam family "Bacterial small subunit ribosomal RNA", at positions 29 to 507 of the family's 1533-position model. The record is from RNAcentral.